Molecule: long non-coding RNA, 273 nt
Filed under: Gossypium barbadense (sea-island cotton)
Lineage: Eukaryota; Viridiplantae; Streptophyta; Magnoliopsida; Malvales; Malvaceae
Description: long non-coding RNA (GBAR_LNC022446)
Source: RNAcentral
CAAAAUGGGUAUUUUGCAUAACCCAAUAGGGUUAUUACAAUUUUAAAGGUUGGGUAUCGUGAUAUCCCUGAAAUUUUUGUCCCAAAUUAUGAAAUUGUUCCGAGUAUCGUGAUAUCCACCAUUGGGGGUCGCGAUACCAUUAUAUGGUUAACAAAAGUUUCCCAAAUUUUCAUCCUAAUUCCUAACUACACAAAAUUAAAUCCUAUAAAUCCUAAAUUUACUAAUGCAAGAAAUUAAAAGCUAAACUAAACAAGAAAAUUAAAUGGAGUCUCG